Molecule: ribosomal RNA, 492 nt
Filed under: uncultured bacterium
Lineage: Bacteria
Description: partial 16S ribosomal RNA
Rfam family: Bacterial small subunit ribosomal RNA
Source: RNAcentral
AGUGAACGCUGGCGGUAGGCCUAACACAUGCCAGUCGAACGGCAGCACAGUAAGAGCUUGCUCUUACGGGUGGCGAGUGGCGGACGGGUGAGGAAUACAUCGGAAUCUACUUUUUCGUGGGGGAUAACGUAGGGAAACUUACGCUAAUACCGCAUACGACCUACGGGUGAAAGCAGGGGAUCUUCGGACCUUGCGCGAUUGAAUGAGCCGAUGUCGGAUUAGCUAGUUGGCGGGGCAAAGGCCCACCAAGGCGACGAUCCGUAGCUGGUCUGAGAGGAUGAUCAGCCACACUGGAACUGAGACACGGUCCAGACUCCUACGGGAGGCAGCAGUGGGGAAUAUUGGACAAUGGGCGCAAGCCUGAUCCAGCCAUACCGCGUGGGUGAAGAAGGCCUUCGGGUUGUAAAGCCCUUUUGUUGGGAAAGAAAAGCAGCAGGUUAAUACCCCGCUGUUCUGACGGUACCCAAAGAAUAAGCACCGGCUAACUUCGUG